UGAUAGAGGCGCACUUCACAUCAGUAACGGAAAUCCCCGGUCAAUGGAUGUCCGUGAAAGGGUGCGGUGCCGAGGGUCGGAUGCUUGUGUCCACAGGUAUCCGUCACCGGGACGUCGGAGAAUAUCCUGCGUACUGUCGUUCCACGGAACGGAGAGCUAUCGU
RNAcentral lists this non-coding RNA (163 nucleotides) under Aedoeadaptatus urinae. Its description in RNAcentral is "Lysine riboswitch". It matches the Rfam family "Lysine riboswitch aptamer". Rfam says of the family: Riboswitches are metabolite binding domains within certain messenger RNAs that serve as precision sensors for their corresponding targets. Allosteric rearrangement of mRNA structure is mediated by ligand binding, and this results in modulation of gene expression. The record is from RNAcentral. Lineage: Bacteria; Bacillati; Bacillota; Tissierellia; Tissierellales; Peptoniphilaceae.